RNAcentral lists this ribosomal RNA (774 nucleotides) under uncultured Neocallimastigales. RNAcentral's name for it is "partial large subunit ribosomal RNA". It matches the Rfam family "Eukaryotic large subunit ribosomal RNA", at positions 22 to 645 of the family's 3401-position model. Lineage: Eukaryota; Fungi; Neocallimastigomycota; Neocallimastigomycetes; Neocallimastigales. The record is from RNAcentral.
AUAUCAGUCAUGCAUAGCAUAUCAAUAAGCGGAGGAAAAGAAACUAACAAGGAUUCCCUUAGUAACGGCGAGUGAAGCGGGAAGAGCUCAAAUUUGAAAUCUUCAAGGUUCUACCUUGACGAAUUGUAGUUUAUAGAAGUGUUUUCUGUUAGUGGAGUGGCAAAAGUUCUUUGGAAUAGGACAUCAUAGAGGGUGAGAAUCCCGUAUUUGGUCAUUCCUCCUAGCGUUGUGAUACACUUUCAACGAGUCGGAUUGUUUGGGAAUGCAGUCCAAAAUGGGUGGUAAAUUUCAUCUAAAGCUAAAUAUUGGCGAGAGACCGAUAGCGAACAAGUACCGUGAGGGAAAGAUGAAAAGAACUUUGAAAAGAGAGUUAAACAGUACGUGAAAUUGUCAAAAGGGAAGCGUUUGACACCAGUGUUGUUUUUCCGAAAAUCAAUUACGAAUGUUUUGUUUUUGAGGAGUUAUGACUUCAUCGGCUUGCUCCUUUCUUUACGAAACUUUCUUAAUGCACUUUUCGGUUAACAAGUCAACAUCAAUUUCUUUUGUUGUAAAAGGGUAUGAGGAAGGUGGCUUUCUUUUCGGAGAAAGUGUUUAUAGCCUUGUGCCUCUGCAGUCGGAGAGAUUGAGGUCUGCAGCGUAGAUCCUUCGGGGUUAGAUACGUUUGUGCUAAGUUAUAGCUUUUCAUAGACAACUUGUUGACUAUGUUUAGUCUUGUAGCUUACUCGCUUAUGCUAUUUUACCUACGCUUAGGAUGUUGAUCUCUCACAGUCGAGC